Molecule: ribosomal RNA, 497 nt
Filed under: uncultured bacterium
Lineage: Bacteria
Description: partial 16S ribosomal RNA
Rfam family: Bacterial small subunit ribosomal RNA
Source: RNAcentral
GAUGAACGCUGGCGGCGUGCCUAAUACAUGCAAGUCGAGCGAACGGACGAGAAGCUUGCUUCUCUGAUGUUAGCGGCGGACGGGCGAGUAACACGUGGAUAACCUACCUAUAAGACUGGGAUAAUUUCGGGAAACCGGAGCUAAUACCGGAUAAUAUUUUGAACCGCAUGGUUCAAAAGUGAAAGACGGUCUUGCUGUCACUUAUAGAUGGAUCCGCGCUGCAUUAGCUAGUUGGUAAGGUAACGGCUUACCAAGGCAACGAUGCAUAGCCGACCUGAGAGGGUGAUCGGCCACACUGGAACUGAGACACGGUCCAGACUCCUACGGGAGGCAGCAGUAGGGAAUCUUCCGCAAUGGGCGAAAGCCUGACGGAGCAACGCCGCGUGAGUGAUGAAGGUCUUCGGAUCGUAAAACUCUGUUAUUAGGGAAGAACAUAUGUGUAAGUAACUGUGCACAUCUUGACGGUACCUAAUCAGAAAGCCACGGCUAACUACGUG